This 253-nucleotide ribosomal RNA is filed under the name uncultured bacterium. RNAcentral describes it as "partial 16S ribosomal RNA". It matches the Rfam family "Bacterial small subunit ribosomal RNA", at positions 524 to 776 of the family's 1533-position model. The record is from RNAcentral.
UACGUAGGGGGCAAGCGUUGUCCGGAUUUAUUGGGCGUAAAGAGCGUGUAGGCGGCCAGGUAGGUCUGCUGUGAAAACUCGAGGCUUAACCUCGAGAUGUCGGCGGAAACCAUCUGGCUAGAGUCCGGAAGAGGAGAGUGGAAUUCCUGGUGUAGCGGUGAAAUGCGUAGAUAUCAGGAGGAACACCGGUGGUGUAAACGGCUCUCUGGACCGUAACUGACGCUGAGACACGAAAGCGUGGGUAGCAAACAGG